This 258-nucleotide ribosomal RNA is filed under the name Enterococcus faecalis. Its description in RNAcentral is "partial 16S ribosomal RNA". It matches the Rfam family "Bacterial small subunit ribosomal RNA", at positions 1 to 236 of the family's 1533-position model. The record is from RNAcentral. Lineage: Bacteria; Bacillati; Bacillota; Bacilli; Lactobacillales; Enterococcaceae.
UUAUUAUGAGAGUUUGAUCCUGGCUCAGGACGAACGCUGGCGGCGUGCCUAAUACAUGCAAGUCGAACGCUUCUUUCCUCCCGAGUGCUUGCACUCAAUUGGAAAGAGGAGUGGCGGACGGGUGAGUAACACGUGGGUAACCUACCCAUCAGAGGGGGAUAACACUUGGAAACAGGUGCUAAUACCGCAUAACAGUUUAUGCCGCAUGGCAUAAGAGUGAAAGGCGCUUUCGGGUGUCGCUGAUGGAUGGACCCGCGG